RNAcentral lists this ribosomal RNA (209 nucleotides) under Anophryoides haemophila. RNAcentral describes it as "partial Bacterial large subunit ribosomal RNA". It matches the Rfam family "Bacterial large subunit ribosomal RNA", at positions 332 to 536 of the family's 2925-position model. The record is from RNAcentral. Lineage: Eukaryota; Ciliophora; Oligohymenophorea; Philasterida; Glauconematidae.
GUUGAACUGGUUUGGGAUGGCCGCCCGGAGUGGGUGAGAGUCCCGUAGGCGAAUACGCACGCAGUCUGCGAUGAUGGUGUUCCCGAGUAGCAGCGGGCUCGUGGAAUCUGCUGUGAAUCUGCCGGGACCGCCUGGUAAGCCUGAAUGACAUGGUGUGACCGAUAGUGGAUAGUACCGUGAGGGAAUGGUGAAAAGUACCCCGGGAGGGG